UGAAGUGCUGGAAACUGAAAUGAAACACAUGGCAAAUAUUUUGCUUCCUGUCACACAAGGGAUUCGAUCCUGCAGGCUGCGUGAGUGCAAAGCUCCAGUUCGUCUGCAGUCAACAGGUGAAAUUCUGACAUUAUUGCCGUCGACUGAAAUCUUUCCUUCCCUUCCCCAGGACUGAUUUGACCAUAGAGAUGUUCUCUGAUGCAGGGUAUGGUAUUGAACAAUAUAAAACCGAGUAAAGGUAGAUGAUACUCACAGAAGGAGAUGGGUCUGCAUACCAGUGCAGAACCUAAAUCACCACAUUUUGGGGAAGUAAUGGUGCAGUUCAGAGUGGGUUCAAGAAUGUUUGAAAAACAAAGAAAGGAACUGUACUCUGGAAGAGACUGAUGGUAUGUUAAGUCAGUAAGAAAUAUGUCUUCAGAUUUUGAAUGGGACUAAUAAUGUCUGAAUGCCACGUUCAGAGCCUUGCAAGGGUUCACUUUUCCAGAGAUCUAAGAAAUCAAGUGCUGUUGAAUUUGAUAAUAGUAAGACAUCACAGUGGAACAAUUAAAGUAUCCAAGUAAUAGGUCUCGUUACCUGAUAUUACACUGAGAAAAAAAUGUUUUCCUGAACUUAUGCAAUAAUUUCUUUCACUGAUACAAAAGGAUUAGUACCUUUGUAUUGUGGCAAAGGUAUUGUAAACUCAUUUUAUGGAGCUCUAGUUCUGGUUCUGUUCUGAUUCUGCCACAGACUUUGUUGUUUCUGUGAAAAAAAUGCUUAAACGAGAUACACCUCAAUGCUUUUUAUCAACAGAAAGAACUUCUAACAGGAUUGGUGGUGGUUCAUCCUUCACAGGACUCCUGUAAAUACCAGUAAAGUAAAGUUUGCAAACUGCUUGUAUACUAGAAAGUUCAGAACCACGCAGUAGCUAAACUAACUUGUAUUACAGUUCCUGUAAAUAGGUAAACUAGGUGGUGCUGAAUUUGGCUUUUACUGUACUUAGCUGUAUUACAGAAAUUUCUGUAGAGUAACAGGGCAACUACCUUUGAGGAAACGAACAUAGUCACUUGGGUGUAUUGAUAAGCUUCACUUAACAAGCGGGAAUGGACGUGCACUCUUUGUAAGGACUUUGCUGCCUCAGAUUCCACUUUGAUGCAAUAUUUGGUUUUCUUCGUAUUGCUAUGCUUAGAAACGAGCACCAAAUUUACUCUGCACUUGAACAGUGUUACCAUACCCCAAAGUUUAAUCAGCCAGCACCUCUGUCUUUUCCCAAGUGUGCCUCUUUGACUGGAGGAAAGCAGUCUUCUAUUUUUGUUUGCCACCUAUUUGCCCAUAUUUUUCCAUGCUCGUCCUGUUGCUGUGUAGUAUCUUCUCAAUCUUGCCAGCUAAAGAGAAGAAGGAGAUGCAAAGGUAAUCCAGUACCAAACUGGCCCCUUCAGAACUGCAGCUGGUUUGCCCUGGCAAAGGUAAAGACCCUUUAGCAAAGAGGCUUUGUUGGAAAUAGGUCUUAUUCAAUAAAUACCUAAAGGAGCCCAACCACAGCCAGUUUUUGGGAAAGGUCACACAUGAAUCAAACAGGAAGAUAUUCCAGGGAAGGAGACUGUUUCCAUUCACAUGGUAAUGUCUGACAUGGAGACAAGCUGAAAUGGUAGCAAGGGAAAUAGGGAAAAUGUUACCACAAGUAGUGUGUGGGCUACUACAGAACAAUUUGCAAGGGGGUGGAGGUCUGAACUGCACAUCUACUGGGGAAGGUCAAAUUAUGUAAAUGGCAGAGUGCUUACUUGGGGAGCUCUAACAGUGGGUAGAUGGAAGCUACACACUAAAUUGCUCAGUAGAGUUGGUUAUCUGGUUGUUUGUGCAAAAAACUUAGUUGAAGAUAGACUUUAAAAACACAGAAUUAGGAGGAGAUUACAGUCAGAAUGGUGAAUAACAAAGCAAACUGCCAAAGUUUUCAAUUUAUACCAGGGGCCAGAUACUGAAAGUGAAAAAGUGGUGGGACUGAACAGGAGGAAUAUCAAGAAGUAUAAAGUAAGCAGGAAAAAGAAGUGUGAGAGCAACAAUCAGUUCACAUCAAUUUUUGGGUGGUUUUAUAUCUUACCUUUCUUUUUGUAUCCCCAAGCGUAUCUCACUUCGCUGUGUUUUUAAACUUGUUUUUCCACUGUGCUUCUGUUUUUCAGAAAAAAAAAAUCACUUAGAUGUAGAGAAAAAAUAUUGCAUUUGUCUUCUGUGGAUAUAAGUAAACCAGAUUAAUUUUUA
Falco peregrinus (peregrine falcon) is the source of this 2232-nucleotide long non-coding RNA. RefSeq lists it as uncharacterized. The transcript has 2 exons. The record is from RefSeq and is a predicted model, not a curated record. NCBI's taxonomy places the organism in Eukaryota, Metazoa, Chordata, Aves, Falconiformes, Falconidae.